AGUGAACGCUGGCGGUAGGCCUAACACACGCAAGUCGAACGGCAGCACAGUAAGAGCUUGCUCUUACGGGUGGCGAGUGGCGGACGGGUGAGGAAUACAUCGGAAUCUACUUUUUCGUGGGGGAUAACGUAGGGAAACUUACGCUAAUACCGCAUACGACCUACGGGUGAAAGCAGGGGAUCUUCGGACCUUGCGCGAUUGAAUGAGCCGAUGUCGGAUUAGCUAGUUGGCGGGGUAAAGGCCCACCAAGGCGACGAUCCGUAGCUGGUCUGAGAGGAUGAUCAGCCACACUGGAACUGAGACACGGUCCAGACUCCUACGGGAGGCAGCAGUGGGGAAUAUUGGACAAUGGGGGCAAGCCUGAUCCAGCCAUACCGCGUGGGUGAAGAAGGCCUUCGGGUUGUAAAGCCCUUUUGUUGGGAAAGAAAAGCAGCAGGUUAAUACCCCGCUGUUCUGACGGUACCCAAAGAAUAAGCACCGGCUAACUUCGUG
This 492-nucleotide ribosomal RNA is filed under the name uncultured bacterium. Its description in RNAcentral is "partial 16S ribosomal RNA". It matches the Rfam family "Bacterial small subunit ribosomal RNA", at positions 29 to 507 of the family's 1533-position model. The record is from RNAcentral.